GCAGCCGCGGUAAUACGUAGGUGGCAAGCGUUGUCCGGAUUUACUGGGUGUAAAGGGCGUGUAGCCGGGACUACAAGUCAGGUGUGAAAUUUCGGGGCUCAACCCCGAACCUGCAUUUGAAACUGUAGUUCUUGAGUAUCGGAGAGGCAGACGGAAUUCCUAGUGUAGCGGUGAAAUGCGUAGAUAUUAGGAGGAACACCAGUGGCGAAGGCGGUCUGCUGGACGACAACUGACGGUGAGGCGCGAAAGCGUGGGGAGCAAACAGGAUUAGAUACCCC
Molecule: ribosomal RNA, 278 nt
Filed under: uncultured Oscillospiraceae bacterium
Lineage: Bacteria; Bacillati; Bacillota; Clostridia; Eubacteriales; Oscillospiraceae
Description: partial 16S ribosomal RNA
Rfam family: Bacterial small subunit ribosomal RNA
Source: RNAcentral